CCUGGCCUUUUUCUAGCUUCACAUACGCAUCGUCAACACUGUACUGAGCUGUUGUUCUUUCUUGUUUCAUUCCUAUGGAUACAGCCUGCGAGUUUCAACAUCCGACCUAUCAGUUACAUCUUGAAAUAACUAGUGGUUUGAUGGCCGUUACCUGGACAAGCGACAGUUCAGAAACAGCUGCCAUAAUCUGACGGGAUACUUUUGUUAACUCGCGGACGUAUUUAUUGAAUUGGAAACCUAUUUUCUGGCUUUCGGGUCGCGCUAAGGCUACCUUUCGCAUCAAAUCAUCUGCAAGCACCGUCACCUGAAGGCAACACGACAA
This is a non-coding RNA of Physcomitrium patens, 322 nucleotides long. The record is from RefSeq and is a predicted model, not a curated record. Lineage: Eukaryota; Viridiplantae; Streptophyta; Bryopsida; Funariales; Funariaceae.